GCAAUUCGGCAAAAUCCUCGAUGUUGAGAUAAUCUUUAAUGAGCGUGGCUCCAAGGAGGUCCAGCACUGGAAUAGCAGGGAGUUUUGCAGCAUGCCAAAAUUAUUCCUGCUUUAGUACGAAAAUGGGAGGCCCCCCGUGUUACUGAGUGGGGUGUAGCUGCACGAAGCACCUGGUACUCACAUAGUAAUGUAAAAACAACAGUUUGGUGAUAUGAUGGUGAAGCAAAGGAAAUGGAUGUCUGGAGGCCACUCACUCACUCUUUGGGCUCUUUCUCCACCUUCAGCAAAAAAAUAAAAAUCUGAAUGCAAUUCUCCUCUCCUGUGGUUUCCAUUCUAAUCUAACGAUAUGAAACCUCUCUCUCUUCUUCUCCUCCUACUCUGUCUUGGGAAUCCGAAAGCAGAUGCUCCUACUGCCUGCCUUGUGCUGUGUUGUCAAUGCUCCCCUUCCUCUCCCUGGGUUUCUAAAGGGUGUAGCUUGUGUAUAUAUUUUGGUAGUAUUUGAAAGGUACAAAGGUAAAUCCCAAAUUGCCCUGGGUUUGCCCUCAUGCAGUGUCUGAUUGGAAGCUUCUCUGUAGGCUGAACAGCCAUUUGUCCCUGCUUCCCUGGGGCAGGGACUGUUUGCUGGAAUUGCUCCAGAUCUGGUUAAAUGGUAGCAAUAUGAGAAAAGGUGUACCUUGCAUUCUUCCUUUUGGAUCCACCUGAGAUGAACUGAUUAACUUUUCUUUCUGCAGCUUGAAUUUACUUAGGUGACUGGUGCUCCUCCCUCUGUUUUUCUUUUUCCCUUUUAUUAAACUUUUUUGGAGGAUAGGUACCCAACAUCGUGCAUGAUUGUGAUCCUGCACAUCCUGAGAAAUAUUAAGAUUAAGGCAUGAGCAAUACAAUUAUGUUAGAACUACCUUAUGCCCUGGAUUGUGGUGCUGUGCUUAAAAAAAGUGCUUUAUUGUCUUACUGAAUUGUGAGGAGGGAAGGAAAUUUUGAGCUGUCUGCAGACUAAUCAGCUUGCUCUCCUGAUCCUGCCUGUUUAAAAUGACUUUAUUAGCCUUGGAAGCCUUUAUACUGAAACUGUAUUGCUGCCCAUUAGAAAACAUAAAUGAAUAUUUAAAAGCCUCUGGCUUUUUUUUCCUCCCAGCUUGCCUAACCAAAUGGCUUCGAUUAUCCUUCAAGUAGAUUUUUUUUUUUUUUGGUUUCCUCGGAAACUGGCUGUUUGGGGUUUUUUUAUUCUUCUCAGCCUGCCCUUAAGAUUUUAAUUCUGAUUCAUGUGAAUUUUUUUAAACGGCACAACACUCGCAAGUCCCAGUUCAUUGUGCAGCUUCAUAACCUGUGGACAGAGUAUAUGCAGAACAGAAUGAUGGUAGGGAUACUCUGUCUGCCAGUAGAGAAGCCUCCUUUAGUUGAUGUCUCAGUCCCAAGUACACCAGCUGAACAGCUGUUCCUGUUUUGCAGAGCUAAUGCAAUCUGCAUGUUUAAUUUAAUCAUAGGAUUUUUAAUGAGACCCUCUUCCCCCAUUUCCCAUUCCAAAAAGCUAUCUGGGAACAUUACACCAAAAGAAAACAGAGCUUUUUCCUCUUCACCAUCCACUCAAGAUCCAGCACCCUGAGAUGUGCGCCUACU
Long non-coding RNA from Alligator sinensis (Chinese alligator), 1611 nucleotides. RefSeq lists it as uncharacterized. NCBI's taxonomy places the organism in Eukaryota, Metazoa, Chordata, Crocodylia, Alligatoridae. The transcript has 3 exons. The record is from RefSeq and is a predicted model, not a curated record.